This is a long non-coding RNA of Xiphias gladius (swordfish), 489 nucleotides long. RefSeq lists it as uncharacterized. The record is from RefSeq and is a predicted model, not a curated record. The transcript is spliced from 3 exons. Lineage: Eukaryota; Metazoa; Chordata; Actinopteri; Istiophoriformes; Xiphiidae.
CAGCUCCAUCAUCAGGGCCUUCUGGGAACUAGGGGUUGCCUGGUGGGCCAUGUUAAUCCCACUUCUGACACCAGUGACCACAGAUCAGUGAAAGACUCAACUUCUCCACACGUCAGCUAAACCCCUACCGAGCAACUUCGUUCAAAUGGAGCCGCUUCCCUGCUCCCUGCCGUCCCCCCCGGCACAGUGGCAGUGCUGACGGCUGAUAAAUACGAGCCUACGGUCGCAAAAAGAACAAGUGCCAUGGAGAUAAAUCAGCAAACUUUUGUUCCAGAUUGGGAGCAGAAGAUGCUGCUCUGUUACUCACUCUUAUAAUCAGACAUCUUAGGGGCUCCAAGACUUGGUCAGGCUGUCAGCUGUGGAUUGAACUUUUAAAUGACUGGAUUUCACUUUCUCGUUCUUAUAAUUAUCAUCGUCACCACCAUUAUCGUGGAUCGCUGUCAUUCCAUUUUUCAAACAAAUACCACAUAGAGAUGUAAUACAAAUUAA